Humulus lupulus (European hop) is the source of this 425-nucleotide long non-coding RNA. RefSeq lists it as uncharacterized. NCBI's taxonomy places the organism in Eukaryota, Viridiplantae, Streptophyta, Magnoliopsida, Rosales, Cannabaceae. The record is from RefSeq and is a predicted model, not a curated record. The transcript is spliced from 3 exons.
CAUAUUGGCAUUAGGCUUUACAUUUGUUUCACCAUGCUAUCAUUUUGGUUUUCUCCUGGUCAACUAAAGCUGAUCGACACAGUAGAGAAUUUUUAAGCGAUCUAAAUGAUGACCAACUAGAAGAACAACUGAUUAGAUCGAGCCAAAGGCUUGAAGAACUCAACAAAGAGAUUCUGCAGAUGGAAGAUAAGUUAGAAGAGAAAGGAAAAUCUGUUUUGCACUUACAGCAGAAGUCCAAGGUAAAUUGUAUUCUUCUUGCUUGAGUUAUAUAAUUUUACUUUUUCGAUAAUUAUUCUUUUCACCACUUCCGUUUUCACAUUAUCAGCAAGUGGCUUUCAUUUCCCCGUAAUAUUUUGAUGAUUGAUGCAGAAAUUGGAAGACUCUUUGAUUAAUGCAAAGAAAACCUCAUCAUACAAUAAGACACA